Long non-coding RNA from Caretta caretta (loggerhead turtle), 751 nucleotides. RefSeq lists it as uncharacterized. The record is from RefSeq and is a predicted model, not a curated record. Lineage: Eukaryota; Metazoa; Chordata; Testudines; Cheloniidae.
UCCUAGCCUACUUUCCAUUCUCAGUUAUGAACUCCUAACCAUUCUUUUUCAAAAUAUCCCUUGUUGUAACCAACUUGCUUUAUACAGUGGUUAUGCCUACCCCUCCCCUCCUCACUUCAAUAUACAAGUUAAAAAUUAUUAAGGGGCAGCAAAGGAAAAAAGGCCGCAAUAGCACAAGGUCACACUUGCAACUAGUUACACAUGGUCUUAUACCCAUCACAACUUCCUACAUCUUUGGCAUCUAGGUGCUAGAUAAACACCAGGCAUUUUAAGCGAGCAUGAGCCUCUUCCAUCAGAGGAUGGAACAGGCCGCAGAAGACGCCUGGGAGGCAAGAAAACUCGCAUCUGGUGAAGACGUGAUAAAUUGACCGCCGAGCGCUCUCCCGUCAACUCCAGUACUCCACCAGAACGAGAAGUGUACGCGAAGUCGACGGGGGAGCAUCAGCAGUCGACCUACCGCAGUGAAGACACCGCGGAGGCGGGAGAUGGGAGAAUGCUGUGACAUGCGAGAGGAAGUUGGGGUGGAGAGAGACCAGCGUGGCUACUUGGACUUUUUCGGCACUGUGGAAAUUCCCAAGCAGGGUGAGCGUCUCAGGGACAUUCCCCUGUCUGAAGGGCAUGCUGGAAAACCCGGACUGGCAUGUUGCUGCUGAAGAGGAUUGAGAGGCUCCACGGCAGGGCCUAGGUCAUUGUUUAUUGUUGUUGCAGGGUCAGAUUACACUUCAAUGGGAAAUAUUAGUUUAAAAGGUCA